AUCCAGACUCCUACGGGAGGCAGCAGUGGGGAAUAUUGCACAAUGGGGGAAACCCUGAUGCAGCGACGCCGCGUGAAGGAAGAAGUAUCUCGGUAUGUAAACUUCUAUCAGCAGGGAAGAAAACAGACGGUACCUGACUAAGAAGCCCCGGCUAACUACGUGCCAGCAGCCGCGGUAAUACGUAGGGGGCAAGCGUUAUCCGGAUUUACUGGGUGUAAAGGGAGCGUAGACGGAAAGGCAAGUCAGAAGUGAAAACCCAAGGCUCAACCAUGGGACUGCUUUUGAAACUGUCAAACUAGAGUACGGGAGAGGUAAGAGGAAUUCCUAGUGUAGCGGUGAAAUGCGUAGAUAUUAGGAGGAACACCAGUGGCGAAGGCGUCUUACUGGACCGAAACUGACGUUGAGGCUCGAAAGCGUGGGGAGCAAGCAGGAUUAGAUACCCCCGUAAA
RNAcentral lists this ribosomal RNA (449 nucleotides) under uncultured bacterium. Its description in RNAcentral is "bacterial SSU rRNA". It matches the Rfam family "Bacterial small subunit ribosomal RNA", at positions 329 to 794 of the family's 1533-position model. The record is from RNAcentral.